UACGGGGGGGGCAAGCGUUGUUCGGAAUUACUGGGCGUAAAGGGCUCGUAGGUGGCCAACUAAGUCAGACGUGAAAUCCCUCGGCUUAACCGGGGAACUGCGUCUGAUACUGGAUGGCUAGAGUUUGGGAGAGGGAUGCGGAAUUCCAGGUGUAGCGGUGAAAUGCGUAGAUAUCUGGAGGAACACCGGUGGCGAAGGCGGCAUCCUGGACCAACACUGACGCUGAGUGAGCGAAAGCCAGGGGAGCAAACGGG
RNAcentral lists this ribosomal RNA (254 nucleotides) under uncultured bacterium. RNAcentral's name for it is "partial 16S ribosomal RNA". It matches the Rfam family "Bacterial small subunit ribosomal RNA", at positions 524 to 776 of the family's 1533-position model. The record is from RNAcentral.